Long non-coding RNA from Canis lupus familiaris (dog), 2826 nucleotides. RefSeq lists it as uncharacterized. The record is from RefSeq and is a predicted model, not a curated record. NCBI's taxonomy places the organism in Eukaryota, Metazoa, Chordata, Mammalia, Carnivora, Canidae. The transcript has 3 exons.
GUUUCCAAGAGACCAGGGAUCCUACAAAUAGAGUGGUGUGGCCAGAGCAGGGACAGAGGUGGGUGAAGCUGCCGAGCGCCGGGCUGGGGAAGAUGAGAGGAAACAAACUGUCAAGUGUACGGAACCCAGAUCAGUGAUGAGCGCCUGGAGGAGUCUGAGCAGCUACCGCAGUCAGGUGCAGGGAGAAGCGUCCAGUUGGAAAAUGGGUGGACAGAGCAGAGCCUGCAGUGGCCCCACCUCGGCAGCUGCAGGGUCUGUCUCCCCCGGGAUGAUCUCGGAAUUGCCCCAGAGGCUCUGAAACAGGCAAGAAUGCAGGUCCAACGUUGGCCACAUCACCUUAUUUUAUGGGCCCAUUUCCCAAGAACUGCCUCACCCGUGCCCCCGCUUGGCCGGCUCAGACACCAGCAAGGGGACCAGCAGCCAAGGUCAUGCCUGAUGGCAGCCCCUCAGCUCAGCUCUCAACUCACUCCCAUGUGGCCCAUCAGCCAAGCCAGGGAAGACCUGGACAUGGCAGCUCAGAACCAGCAACCGUCCCACUUGGCGGGGGCCACAGAAACCUUGGCAGGUGCCAGCACACAACCCAACAGGGAGUCCAUCGGGAGGACUCGGGGAACCUGCUCACUGGGCCGGAGUGUCAGCAAACUUCCAAGUGUCUACUCCAUCUCCCUUGACGGACAGCACCCAGCUGGCCCAUCACAGGGACCCACAACGGCCCACCCCAGAGCGCUCCACUGGACAGAAUUCUUCAUGGUCUCUCCCGUAGCCACUUCAUCGCUUCCGCUCAGACACCCUGUCAUAGUGACCAUGGUAAUGAACACGCGGUGUCCACAGAAAGACAAGUUAGGUGCCCUUUAAGACGAGUCAUCCCAUCUGUCCCUAUGGAAGAGCCGUCUCUGGGCCCGGAUUGAUGGCGAAGGCAGAUUGUCGGUGAACUGCUCUGCUCCACACAGCCCUGAUCCUGGCCUUGGAGGCAAGCAUGCACCCACCUGAGUACUGGCGACAGCCAGCAUGGGAGCUCACCAGGCCCCCGGAACAGCUGUGACUCCCCAGGAAGCUCACACCGCAGCUUCACGCAGGGCCCUAGGGUCAGGGAGGAUGUGGGGCAGCAAGGGGGGCUGUGGCAGCUUAGCUCCAGGUUUCAGAAUCCCCUUUUUUUUUUUAAGGAAGGAAGGAUUUCUUUUUUAAGAUUUUACUUAUUCAUGAGAGACACACAGAGAGGCAGAGACACAGGCAAAGGGAGAACCAGGCUCCCUGAGGGGAGUCCGAUGCGGGACUCGAUCCCAGGACCCCAGGAUCACUCCCUGAGUUGAAAGCAGAUGCUCAGCUGCUGAGCCACCCAGGUGCCCCCAGAAUUCCCUAUUCUGCAAAGGUUCCAAAUUUAAGGUGGAUCCAGGAGGAAUAGGCAGGAGAGUCAGGAAGCAGAAUAAAACACCAGCCGUUAUUCCCCAAAGGUCCAUGAAGGAACUCCACACACAAUGUUGCAGCAGCCAGCUCAUCCUGUGGGCGCAGGUGGUGGCCGGAGCGGGGAGGUGGGGGGAGCAUCUGGCUUGCCUCCUCCAGCUCCUGCAAGAAAAGGGUGCCGGCUGGCCUCUUCUCCCGACUGGACGCCAUGAGCAGCACACACAGUCAACAGCAUGCUGGCAAUUGUUGCUUGGCAGGCGCCGCUUGGACCUGAGUACUGGUCAAUGUUCUUGUUGAUGGCAGCAAGUAAGACACAGUGAAAUCCUUGCUAAGUUGGAAGAUAAUUUUGAAUCCUGGGAGCGUUAUUGCCUUUGUUUGUGACAUAACCAGUUUUCUGACAGCAACCUUGAGCCAUGAAGAAGCAGUGAGUUUAAUUUUCUGAAUGUCUUUCUCCUACACGAGCCUAGACAAUCAACCAUAAUAUGAAUCAAAGCCUGAUUUUAGCAUCUGCCAAUGUCUGUGGCAUAAAUACUCCCACCAGGGUGCUCAUUUAAAGCAACCAACGUGAUAUUCCUGAACAUGCGGUUGGGAAGAGAUGCGAUUGGUGGCACGUUGUUCGUUGUAUGGUAUUUCCACCAUAUGCAUUCAAUAGACAUUAAAAAAAAAAAAGCGUAUGUGAUAAUAAGACAUAACAAAAUCAUCAGGAAGUGAUGAGUUCUCAGGACAUAUCACCUUUGUUAUUCAUGCAAUUUACUUAAUAUGAGUUUAUAUAAUUAAACUUUCAGUGGUGGCUGUGUUUAACAAAUGGAUCGCAAGAUUCCUGAAAAUGUCCUAAUGAGCCCCACAUGUGGGGACAAGCCAGCUCUGGCACUUCCCUGGUUUCCGGUUGUCUUCAUGGCUUGCGGCUCUCCCCAGUUGGAGGUCCCGGCUCCCCAGUGGCCGUGAAUCCCAGUCACAGCCAAUCUGUCCUUUGUUAGCAUUUACUUGCUCAUUCAUUCCUCAUUCAUUCGUUUGCAUACUGAGCAUUCUGUGCUGAGCCUCAGGUAGGACACUGAGGGCACAGGGGUAAAAACAGAUGCUUUUCCUAAACACGGUGUGGUGCCCUGGAAUGGAUUCUGGGACAGGAGGGGAAAAGCGGGGGUGGGGGGUGAGCAACAUUAGAAAACCUGGUGAAAUCUGAAAAUAGUCUCUAGUAGAGUUCAUGGCAUUGGGCCGCAGAGGACACCUUUCCUUAUUUUAACCAAAAGCACCUAGUUCUGUGACAUAAUAACACCAGAGGAAGUGGGUAAAGGGGGCACAGAAACUCUCUGUUUACCUCUGCAACUUUUAUGUAAAAAAAGAUUAUUCUAAAAUGAGGUGGGUUUUCUUUUUUAAUGACUGAUAUAUUUAUUUGAGAGAGACAGAGAAAGCGAGCAAGUAGGGUAA